UUGGGACUGAGACACGGCCCAAACUCCUACGGGAGGCAGCAGUGGGGAAUAUUGCACAAUGGGGGAAACCCUGAUGCAGCAACGCCGCGUGAAGGAAGAAGGUUUUCGGAUCGUAAACUUCUAUCAACAGGGACGAAGAAAGUGACGGUACCUGAAUAAGAAGCCCCGGCUAACUACGUGCCAGCAGCCGCGGUAAUACGUAGGGGGCAAGCGUUAUCCGGAAUUACUGGGUGUAAAGGGAGCGUAGGCGGCACGCCAAGCCAGAUGUGAAAGCCCGAGGCUUAACCUCGCGGAUUGCAUUUGGAACUGGCGAGCUAGAGUACAGGAGAGGAAAGCGGAAUUCCUAGUGUAGCGGUGAAAUGCGUAGAUAUUAGGAAGAACACCAGUGGCGAAGGCGGCUUUCUGGACUGAAACUGACGCUGAGGCUCGAAAGCGUGGGGAGCAAACAGGAUUAGAUACCCUGGUAGUCCACGCCGUAAACGAUGAGUGCUAGGUGUCGGGGAGGAAUCCUCGGUGCCGCAGCUAACGCAAUAAGCACUCCACCUGGGGAGUACGACCGCAAGGUUGAAACUCAAAGGAAUUGACGGGGGCCCGCACAAGCGGUGGAGCAUGUGGUUUAAUUCGAAGCAACGCGAAGAACCUUACCAAGGCUUGACAUCCCGAUGACCGCUCUAGAGAUAGAGUUUCUCUUCGGAGCAUCGGUGACAGGUGGUGCAUGGUUGUCGUCAGCUCGUGUCGUGAGAUGUUGGGUUAAGUCCCGCAACGAGCGCAACCCUUAUCCUUAGUAGCCAUCAUUGAGUUGGGCACUCUAGGGAGACUGCCGUGGAUAACACGGAGGAAGGUGGGGAUGACGUCAAAUCAUCAUGCCCCUUAUGUCUUGGGCUACACACGUGCUACAAUGGCUGGUAACAGAGUGAAGCGAGACGGCGACGUUAAGCAAAUCACAAAAACCCAGUCCCAGUUCGGAUUGUAGUCUGCAACUCGACUACAUGAAGCUGGAAUCGCUAGUAAUCGCGAAUCAGAAUGUCGCGGUGAAUACGUUCCCGGGCCUUGUACACACCGCCCGUCACACCAUGGGAGUUGGAAGCACCCGAAGUCGGUGACCUAACCGUAAGGAAGGAGCCGCCGAAGGUGAAGCCAGUGACUGGGGUGAAGUCGUAACAAGGUAGCCGUAUCGGAAGGUGCGGCUG
This 1190-nucleotide ribosomal RNA is filed under the name human gut metagenome. RNAcentral's name for it is "bacterial SSU rRNA". It matches the Rfam family "Bacterial small subunit ribosomal RNA", at positions 313 to 1520 of the family's 1533-position model. The record is from RNAcentral.